This 27-nucleotide unclassified non-coding RNA is filed under the name Mus musculus (house mouse). Its description in RNAcentral is "oocyte_clustered_small_RNA5430". The record is from RNAcentral. Lineage: Eukaryota; Metazoa; Chordata; Mammalia; Rodentia; Muridae.
CAACCCUCUUUGUCUAUAGAUGGCACU